GGUCGGAAGUUCAAGUCUUCCCAGGCCCACCACACUCAUCGAGUGAGCAUUCGUCUUCUGGUUACGGGGCCAUAGCUCAGCUGGGAGAGCGCGUGCUUUGCAAGCAUGAGGUCGUCGGUUCGAUCCCGUCUGGCUCCACCAGAUGGUUUGAUCACCAACGACUAGACCGUCGUCCGCGAAACAUCACUUCGCACCCACCAGUCCGGAUGGACGGUGACGUGCGUGAUUUCUGACAUCGUAAAGAGGAGAUCGAUCCGAGUUGGAUCGUGCAGCAAGCAAUUGCUACGCGAUACUUCAUUAUCUCCGGAUCAUUUCGGCGCUUGCGCGCCUUUCAGUGUAGCUCACAAGGCUGCGUCUGAAAGACGGGCGAGUUGUAAAUGAUCCUUUUAGCGAAGCUUGACCGCCUCGCUAUCGGAACGAUCUUACGAAGCAAGCUGGUCUUUCUAAUCAUUGUCCGGCUGCAGAUAGCGUUCAUCGAGGGCGCGUGCCGCAAGGCAAUUCUGCAGACAACAUUCUGCCGAGUGUGUGGACAUUGAUAAUGAGAGC
Molecule: transfer RNA, 546 nt
Filed under: Bradyrhizobium sp. S1.18
Lineage: Bacteria; Pseudomonadati; Pseudomonadota; Alphaproteobacteria; Hyphomicrobiales; Nitrobacteraceae
Description: partial 16S-23S ribosomal RNA intergenic spacer
Rfam family: tRNA (bases 66-138)
Source: RNAcentral